AAUUCAGAUUAUCAUGAUGAUAUUUGAAAUUUCAAUUCAAUCUAUUAGGUUUUUACUUUUUAAAGCGCAGUAGUUUAUCGUCUUAACAAAUUCUUGUGGACUACAUAAUUUAUUUCUCAUUAACCUAGAUCUAAGAAUUUCUAAGCGAGGAAAACUUUAAAAAAAGAAGGCAUCCCCUACAGACAAAUACACACGCGAACACGCAUAGCUGUGAAAGUAUUCUCCUUGGGACAUACAACCAUAAUGGCACAACAAUCAAGUGAUGGAGAAAACAAGAAAACUGAGUGGAAACAACACAAAUUCACUACUCAAAUCAUUUUGAGAAUGGCAGAGACAGAAAACGGCGCAGAAACUGGAGCUUAUUCGACAUGUGAAGUGCUUUUUGCCAGUUAUCAUGAGCUGCAGUUGGUCUAUCAUUCAUUUUUGUCUUUGCCUGUGUGUAUGUGUGCGUGUGUGUUUCAGUGUGUGUAUAAUGCAAUUGCAUGCAUCAAAUUUGGAUGCAACAAAUUUGCUGAAGCACUCGUCAUUGUGCAACAAAAUCACUUGAUAAUACAAAUAAUAUGAGAAAAA
This is a long non-coding RNA of Drosophila virilis, 570 nucleotides long. RefSeq lists it as uncharacterized. Lineage: Eukaryota; Metazoa; Arthropoda; Insecta; Diptera; Drosophilidae. The record is from RefSeq and is a predicted model, not a curated record.